This 804-nucleotide ribosomal RNA is filed under the name uncultured bacterium. RNAcentral describes it as "bacterial SSU rRNA". It matches the Rfam family "Bacterial small subunit ribosomal RNA", at positions 8 to 796 of the family's 1533-position model. The record is from RNAcentral.
AGAGUUUGAUCCUGGCUCAGAGUGAACGCUGGCGGCGUAGAUUAGGCAUGCAAGUCGAGCGAUCCCGCAAGGGAUAGCGGCAAAAGGGUGAGGAACACGUGAGUAACCUACCUCUAAGACAGGGAUAACUUCGCGAAAGCGAAGCUAAUACCUGAUAAGACCACGUAAACACAUGUUUGUGUGGUAAAAGAUGGCGACCCGAGCAAUCGGGGCUAUCACUAAGAGAGGGGCUCGCGUCCUAUCAGCUAGUUGGUGGGGUAAUGGCUCGCCAAGGCUAAGACGGGUAGCUGGUCUGAGAGGAUGGUCAGCCACACUGGGACUGAGACACUGCCCAGACUCCUACGGGAGGCUGCAGUCGAGAAUCUUUUGCAAUGGGCGAAAGCCUGACAAUGCGACGCCGUGUGAGCGAUGAAGGCCUUCGGGUUGUAAAGCUCUGUUAGCCUGGAAGAAAACCAGAGGUCAAAUAGACCAAUGGGUUGACGUUACAGGCAGAGGAAGCCACGGCCAACUCCGUGCCAGCAGCCGCGGUAAUACGGAGGUGGCAAGCGUUGUUCGGAUUUAUUGGGUGUAAAGGGCAUGUAGGUGGCUAAGCAAGUCAGAUGUGGAAUCCUCAAGCUCAACUUGAGAACUGCGUCUGAAACUACUUGGCUUGAGUAUGGGAGAGGAGAGUGGAAUUCCCGGUGUAAGGGUGAAAUCUGUAGAGAUCGGGAGGAACACCAAUGGCGAAGGCGGCUCUCUGGCCCAAUACUGACACUGAAAUGCGAAAGCUAGGGGAGCAAACAGGAUUAGAUACCCUGGUAGUCC